AACGCACAUUGCGCCCGCCGGUAUUCUGGCGGGCAUGCCUGUUCGAGCGUCAUUUCAACCCUCGGGCCUGUCCCGGUGUUGGGGCUCCGCGAUUUUCCUGCGGACCCUGAAAAACAGUGGCGGAGCCGCCCAGCUCUCAGCGUAGUAAUUUUUCUCGUUGGGGACGACAGCGGUCGCUUGCCGUUAAACAACCACUAUUUUAUUUGUUUGACCUCGGAUCAGGUAGGAAUACCCGCUGAACUUAA
This 245-nucleotide unclassified non-coding RNA is filed under the name uncultured fungus. RNAcentral describes it as "partial contains 5.8S ribosomal RNA, internal transcribed spacer 2, and large subunit ribosomal RNA". The record is from RNAcentral. Lineage: Eukaryota; Fungi.